GUGGGGAAUAUUGCACAAUGGGGGGAACCCUGAUGCAGCGACGCCGCGUGAGUGAAGAAGUAUUUCGGUAUGUAAAGCUCUGUCAGCAGGGAAGAAAAAAGACGGUACCUGACCAAGAAGCCCCGGCUAACUACGUGCCAGCAGCCGCGGUAAUACGUAGGGGGCAAGCGUUAUCCGGAUUUACUGGGUGUAAAGGGAGCGCAGACGGCAGGGCAAGUCUGGAGUGAAAGGCAGGGGCCCAACCCCUGGACUGCUCUGGAAACUGUCCGGCUGGAGUGCAGGAGAGGUAAGUGGAAUUCCUAGUGUAGCGGUGAAAUGCGUAGAUAUUAGGAGGAACACCAGUGGCGAAGGCGGCUUACUGGACUGUAACUGACGUUGAGGCUCGAAAGCGUGGGGAGCAAACAGG
This 406-nucleotide ribosomal RNA is filed under the name uncultured bacterium. Its description in RNAcentral is "bacterial SSU rRNA". It matches the Rfam family "Bacterial small subunit ribosomal RNA", at positions 354 to 776 of the family's 1533-position model. The record is from RNAcentral.